UACGUAGGGGGCGAGCGUUGUCCGGAAUCAUUGGGCGUAAAGAGCGUGUAGGCGGACUGGAAGGUCUGGUGUGAAAGCCCGGGGCUCAACCCCGGAGGGUCACCGGAAACCGACAGUCUUGAAUCUGGAAGAGGAGAGUGGAAUUCCUGGUGUAGCGGUGGAAUGCGCAGAUAUCAGGAGGAACACCAAUAGCGAAGGCAGCU
RNAcentral lists this ribosomal RNA (203 nucleotides) under uncultured bacterium. RNAcentral's name for it is "partial 16S ribosomal RNA". It matches the Rfam family "Bacterial small subunit ribosomal RNA", at positions 524 to 726 of the family's 1533-position model. The record is from RNAcentral.